CAAGACAAUCCAGUAAUGCUAAGUGUCUGAAUCCUUGAUCCGAUCCCUUCGGGGUGACGGUCUUGGCCUAGCACACGACCCUACGCUGGGGCGUUUAGCGUAUUAACAGGUGUGACGCAGGAAGGUAGCUGAGCCGGGCGAUGGUUGUCCCGGUCUAAGGAUGUAGGGCAGAAGAUAGGCAAAUCCGUCUUCUAUGUAGCCUGAGACCCGAUGGGUAGUCCUCACGGACGAAAUCAGUGAUCCUAUGCUGCCGAGAAAAGCAUCGACGCGAGGUUCCAAUCGCCCGUACCCCAAACCGACUCAGGUGGUCAGGUAGAGAAUACUAAGGAGAUCGAGAGAAUCGUGGUUAAGGAACUCGGCAAAAUGCCCCCGUAACUUCGGGAGAAGGGGGGCCUGAGGCGUGUAGGGAUUUACUCCUGAAGCGUUUGAAGGCCGCAGAGACCAGUGGGAAGCGACUGUUUACUAAAAACACAGGUCCGUGCUAAGUCGCAAGACGAUGUAUACGGACUGACGCCUGCCCGGUGCUGGAAGGUUAAGAGGAACGGUUAGCACGCAAGUGCGAAGCUGAGAAUUUAAGCCCCAGUAAACGGCGGUGGUAACUAUAACCAUCCUAAGGUAGCGAAAUUCCUUGUCGGGUAAGUUCCGACCUGCACGAAUGGCGUAACGACUUCCCAGCUGUCUCAACCGCGAACUCGGCGAAAUUGCACUACGAGUAAAGAUGCUCGUUACGCGCAGCAGGACGGAAAGACCCCGUGACCUUUACUACAGCUUGGUAUUGGUGUUCGGUGUGGCUUGUGUAGGAUAGGUGGGAGACUGUGAAGCUCGGACGCUAGUUCGGGUGGAGUCAUUGUUGAAAUACCACUCUGGUCACUCUGGAUAUCUAACUUCGAACCGUAAUCCGGUUCAGGGACAGUGCCUGGUGGGUAGUUUAACUGGGGCGGUUGCCUCCUAAAGAGUAACGGAGGCGCCCAAAGGUUCCCUCAACCUGGUUGGUAAUCAGGUGUCGAGUGUAAGUGCACAAGGGAGCUUGACUGUGAGACUGACAAGUCGAGCAGGGACGAAAGUCGGGACUAGUGAUCCGGCAGUGGCUUGUGGAAGCGCUGUCGCUCAACGGAUAAAAGGUACCUCGGGGAUAACAGGCUGAUCUUGCCCAAGAGUCCAUAUCGACGGCAUGGUUUGGCACCUCGAUGUCGGCUCGUCGCAUCCUGGGGCUGGAGUAGGUCCCAAGGGUUGGGCUGUUCGCCCAUUAAAGCGGUACGCGAGCUGGGUUUAGAACGUCGUGAGACAGUUCGGUCCCUAUCCGCUGCGCGCGUAGGAAAUUUGAGAAGAUCUAUCCCUAGUACGAGAGGACCGGGAUGGACGAACCUCUGGUGUGUCAGUUGUUCCGCCAGGAGCACCGCUGAUUAGCUACGUUCGGAACGGAUAACCGCUGAAAGCAUCUAAGCGGGAAGCCGGCUUCGAGAUGAGAUUUCCAUCCCUUUUAGGGUGAAGGCUCCCGGCUAGACUACCGGGUUGAUAGGCAGGAUGUGGAAGCGAGGACUAAAGACUCGUGGAGCUGACCUGUACUAAUA
RNAcentral lists this ribosomal RNA (1571 nucleotides) under Clavibacter michiganensis. RNAcentral's name for it is "partial 23S ribosomal RNA". It matches the Rfam family "Bacterial large subunit ribosomal RNA", at positions 1416 to 2906 of the family's 2925-position model. Lineage: Bacteria; Bacillati; Actinomycetota; Actinomycetes; Micrococcales; Microbacteriaceae. The record is from RNAcentral.